CUGGGAGUGGCUAAUGAACUUCCUGCUAUCAGUCACUGGGCUGUGUGCAUCACUGAGCUGCUUGGGAACCGGUUGCACACCACAGCCUGACAUUGCAGCCUUUCCAUUCUUGCCUUGCUGAUGUCCAGAAAGAAGAUGCCAUUAACAAUAGUUCGGAAAUUAGACCAACAACUGAUUCUCACUUCCCUAAAGAAGAAAACCACAUCUGUGCUCUCUGAAGAUGAAAAAUGUAUAAAACAUGGUUCUUGAGGAGUAAGUUGUGGGCACGAUAUGAAGCCAGUCUCUAGCUCUGAUGCUGAAAAUUGUUGUUCUUUUGUGCUGGUGGUGUAUCCAGCUAUCACUUCUGUCCUCCUCACUCUCCUUACCUUCUUGUCUCAUGGAAUUGGUCUGGCCUAUCUACUUCCUGCUGUUUGCCACAAUGAAAUGAAUUCAGGAGAGAAGAUUAUGAAACCAACUUCAAAAGAAAUUUCACCCUCCAUGAGGAUCUUGUAUAAACUCUCAGACCUGUUGAUAAAACAGUAAAGAAAAAACUCCAAGCCUCUAUGGUGAAGGCUUCAGCUUUCUCAUAGCAUAUGAUAAAUACCCUUAUUAUAGUCAACACUUCUUGCCUGUGAUGGCCACUGGCACUAACAUAGACUUGCUCUUGGUCCUAAACAGAAAAAGAAGUCGGACAAGGGCAGAGCGUAUACAUGACUACGUCACUGCAGUGCUCCUUGAAGAGUUACUGCCAACUGCUUUGUUCUUAGCGCUGCACCCAUGGCCAGCCAGUGAGAUGAAUAAUUCUCUGACAAGAUUUAAUUCCUCUACUUAAUAUCCCCCUUUGGAUUGUCUCGUAGUAACUUCAUUUUAAGUGGUGUGAAGAAUGACAAAUAAAACACUUG
Molecule: long non-coding RNA, 881 nt
Filed under: Apteryx owenii (little spotted kiwi)
Lineage: Eukaryota; Metazoa; Chordata; Aves; Apterygiformes; Apterygidae
Description: lncRNA (ENSAOWG00000010223.1)
Source: RNAcentral